Molecule: ribosomal RNA, 120 nt
Filed under: Labrus bergylta (ballan wrasse)
Lineage: Eukaryota; Metazoa; Chordata; Actinopteri; Labriformes; Labridae
Source: RNAcentral
ACCUACCUGGCCAUACCACCCUGAACACGCCCGAUCUCGUCCGAUCUCGGAAGCUAAGCAGGUCGGGCCUGGUUAGUACUUGGAUGGGAGACCGCCUGGGAAUACCAGGUGCUGUAAGCU